CAGCCAGACUCCUACGGGAGGCAGCAGUGGGGAAUAUUGCACAAUGGGGGAAACCCUGAUGCAGCGACGCCGCGUGAAGGAAGAAGUAUCUCGGUAUGUAAACUUCUAUCGGCAGGGAAGAAAACGGACGGUACCUGACUAAGAAGCCCCGGCUAACUACGUGCCAGCAGCCGCGGUAAUACGUAGGGGGCGAGCGUUAUCCGGAUUUACUGGGUGUAAAGGGAGCGUAGACGGCUGGGCAAGCCUGAUGUGAAAGGCGGGGGCGCAACCCUCGGACUGCAUUGGGAACUGUCCGGCUGGAGCGCCGGAGGGGUAAGCGGAAUUCCUGGUGUAGCGGUGAAAUGCGUAGAUAUCAGGAGGAACACCGGUGGCGAAGGCGGCUUACUGGACGGCGACUGACGUUGAUGCUCGAAAGCGUGGGGAGCGAACAGGAUUAGAUACCCGUGUA
Molecule: ribosomal RNA, 448 nt
Filed under: uncultured bacterium
Lineage: Bacteria
Description: bacterial SSU rRNA
Rfam family: Bacterial small subunit ribosomal RNA
Source: RNAcentral